UACAGAGACUGCAAGCGUUAUUCGGAUUCACUGGGCGUAAAGCGUGCGCAGGCGGUUUUGUAAGCCAGAUGUGAAAGCCCCGGGCUUAACCUGGGAAUGGCAUUUGGGACUGCAAGGCUUGAGUGCGGCAGAGGAGACUGGAAUUCCUGGUGUAGCAGUGAAAUGCGUAGAUAUCAGGAGGAAUACCGAUGGCGAAGGCAGGUCUCUAGGCUGACACUGACGCUCAUGCACGAAAGCGUGGGGAGCAAACAGG
Molecule: ribosomal RNA, 253 nt
Filed under: uncultured bacterium
Lineage: Bacteria
Description: partial 16S ribosomal RNA
Rfam family: Bacterial small subunit ribosomal RNA
Source: RNAcentral